AUUGAACGCUCGCGGGAGGCUUUACACAUGCAAGUCGAACGAGUGGCGGACGGGUGAGUAAUAUAUCGGAACCUGGCCAGUAGCGGGGGAUAACUACGGGAAAGGGUGGCUAAUACCGCAUACUAUAGGAGGGGCCGAUAUCGGAUUAGGUAGUUGGUGGGGUAAAGGAUAACCAAGGCAACGAUCCGUAGCUGGUGUGAGAGGAAGACCAGCCACACGGGGACUGAUACACGGCCCAGACUCCUACGUGAGGCAGCAUUGGGGAAUUUUGCACAAUGGGUGAAACCCUGAUGCAGCCAUCCCGCGUGUAUGAGAAGGCCUUCGGGUGGUAAAGUACUUUUGGCAGAGAAGCGUUAUCUACAGAAUAAGCACCGGCUAACUCCGUGCCAGCAGCCGCGGUAAUAC
This 405-nucleotide ribosomal RNA is filed under the name uncultured bacterium. RNAcentral's name for it is "partial 16S ribosomal RNA". It matches the Rfam family "Bacterial small subunit ribosomal RNA", at positions 30 to 526 of the family's 1533-position model. The record is from RNAcentral.